RNAcentral lists this ribosomal RNA (451 nucleotides) under uncultured bacterium. Its description in RNAcentral is "partial 16S ribosomal RNA". It matches the Rfam family "Bacterial small subunit ribosomal RNA", at positions 29 to 523 of the family's 1533-position model. The record is from RNAcentral.
AACGAACGCUGGCGGCAGGCUUAACACAUGCAAGUCGAACGGGUGUAGCAAUACAUCAGUGGCAGAUGGGUGAGUAACACGUGGGAACCCUCCUAGAGGUACGGAACAACUCAGGGAAACUUGAGCUAAUACCGUAUACGCUCGUGAGAGGAAAGAUUUAUCGCCUUUAGACGGGCCCGCGUCGGAUUAGCUAGUUGGUGAGGUAACGGCUCACCAAGGCGACGAUCCGUAGCUGAUCUGAGAGGAUGAUCAGCCACACUGGAACUGAGACACGGUCCAGACUCCUACGGGAGGCAGCAGUGGGGAAUCUUGGACAAUGGGCGCAAGCCUGAUCCAGCCAUGCCGCGUGAGUGAAGAAGGCCUUCGGGUUGUAAAGCUCCUUUGUCAGGGACGAUAAUGACGGUACCUGAAGAAUAAGCCCCGGCAAACUUCGUGCCAGCCGCCGCUGUAA